Hibiscus syriacus is the source of this 102-nucleotide small nucleolar RNA. Lineage: Eukaryota; Viridiplantae; Streptophyta; Magnoliopsida; Malvales; Malvaceae. The record is from RefSeq and is a predicted model, not a curated record.
AUGCAUCGGGCAUUUACGCAGUAAAUCCUUGAAGCGUUCCCAUGCUUCAUACAAAUUCUCAUCUUCCAACUGCUUGAAGAAUUCUAUUUCAUUCCUUAGCUU